Musa acuminata AAA Group (dessert banana) is the source of this 2373-nucleotide RNA transcript. RefSeq lists it as uncharacterized. NCBI's taxonomy places the organism in Eukaryota, Viridiplantae, Streptophyta, Magnoliopsida, Zingiberales, Musaceae. The record is from RefSeq and is a predicted model, not a curated record. The transcript has 2 exons.
CAAUCCUCCUCUCUUCGGAAUGAGAGAGGCGGCCACCUUCUCCUGGCCGACCAUCUAAUCGGAGCCAGAAAGACGAGUUAGAAGCCCUUCGUUUCCUUCGUCUUCGCUCGAGCCAUGGUCGACGUCGAUCGCCACAUGGGGGGCCUCACGCCUGCCCACGCCGCCGGCCUCCGCCGCCUCUCCGCCCGCGCCUCUGCAGCCCCCACAUCUUCCACCGCAGCCGUUUCCCACCAUGGCGGCCUCCUCUCCUUCCGCCCCCUCGCGGAGUCCGUCCUCGCACGUCUCCGCGCCGCCGCCGUACCCAUCCGCCCUGGCCUCUCCGAUGCUGAGGUCUCGCGCCUCGAGGCCGACCUCGCCGUCUCCUUCCCUCCGGACCUCCGCGCCAUCCUCGUCCUCGGGCUACCCUCCGCCCCUGGCUUCCCCGACUGGCGCCCCUCAUCCUCCUGCACCGACCUCCUACUUCGCGCUUCCCUCGACGUCCCCCUCGCCGCUGCUUCCCUCCAGGUCGCCCGCGGCGCCCUCUGGCCCCGCUCAUGGGGUCCCCGCCCUUCCGACCCCGACCGCGCCCUAGGCGUCGCCCGCGCCGCCCUCCGCCGCUCCCCCUUCCUCAUCCCCGUCUUCGAUCGCUGCUACAUCCCUUCCCGCCCCUGCCUCGCUGGCAACCCCAUUUUCUACGUCGACGAGCACCGCGUUUUCUGCUGUGGCUUCGAUCUCGCCGAUUUCUUCCAGCGCGAGCCCGCCUUCCCUCCGGCUUCCCGACGUGAUCCCCACCCGAUCAGCUCUUCCGACGCUCCGCUCCCGCCUCCCCCACCGCCCCCCGCCCGGCGGAGCCUGGACGCCGUCGCAGGGAGGACACCCCGGUGGAUCGAGUUCUGGAGCGACGCUGCCUCCGAUCGCCGCCGCCGGAACUCGUCCUCAUCGGCGUCCUCGUCCUCCUCCGGCUCGGCGUCACCGCGGCUGUCGGACCCGCAGCGGUCCGUGGAUAUCCGUUCUCAAAGGCGUCUGCCGGGCUGGGUCGACUGCUACCUCGACCAGAUCGGGUCGGUCCUCCGAUCGUCCGGCUGGGGCGAGUCGGACGUCAUCGAGAUCGUCGGCGUGCCACCAUCGAGGUUCUUCGACGGCGAUGUCGAAGCGUCGACCGCGGCCGCGAUCGACUCCGAAGCGGCGCUUGACGCACUGCUGGUGAAUGCGGACCGCUGCUCCCAGUCGCUCCGGCGAGCAGGGUGGAGCCCCGACGAGGUCUCCGACGCGCUGGGUUUCGACUUUCUGCGGCGAGAGGGGAGGCGGGAGAGACCUCCGAUGGAGUUACCCCCCGAGAUCGCCGCCAAGGUCGAGAAGCUCGCCGAGGCGGUGGCCACAUCCUGACGGGCGGUGUCCAGAUCCCCCACCUGGCUUCUUCUUUGUUAUUAUUUUAAGCACCUUUGGAACGGUCGACUAUGUAUCGUACGGGAAGCCGUAUGAAAAGGGGGAGGAUGACGUGUACAGAACAACAACAACAACAACAACUACAUGGAAGUUAUCAAACGGAAAAUAUCCAUGAAUCGUGAAACCGAUCAAAUAAUAUUAUGAACUCAUGGGAGGGGGUGUCAACUGUGGCCUGCAAGAUCAAUCAAUUGGCUGGUGAACUUGAAUGUUCGAGUACCCUUCUUUUGGUUAAAGAAGGAGAGAGUGGGGCGCCACUGGCAACGCUACCACACGCGCGGGUCUGAUUGAUUUCGAAAAAAGAAGAGCGAGCCCCCACCCACUUUUAUGUCGCCAUGAAGCUUGUGCUACGGAUUCCCUCCCUUUUUUGGUUUCUCUUUCUUAUUGGCUGCUGUUCACUACUGCAGUGCGGGGGCUGGCAGCUUCGGGGAGCUCAGCCAUGGAGAGUGCAGGAUCAAGGAAAGGCGAAGGCACGGCGUUCUCGGACGACGACACAGAGGACACCAGCAAGUGUGUGUUGUCUUCGAAAGUAGCAACCGCAAGCAAACUAAACAAAUGGCGGAGAGGACCAUCAUCGUUGUCAUCAACGUGUUCGACGCUUUGCCUCGCCGCCCGUUGCCUGGUGGCACGUGGGAGUGCUUGCGCUAAGUUUAACUUUCUCUUCCCUAUCACCGGUUCUCGCAGCACGGAGAUUUAGAGCCAAAAAAUGACCAUUGACACGCUCGCUAUCAGAGAGGCAGGGAGCCGUGCCUUUUCUUCAUAGUGUGGUGGCGGCCGCCGAGAGUGAGAAAAGCGUGGGAAUUGCCGCCUCAAAACAAAGUAUCGCUUUCCUUGAUCGCCACGAGCCUAUCCAACUUUCUAAUCUUUUCAAGCAGAUGGACCACCUCGACAUUGACGAAGCAAACCGAGGUGAAACAGGAACGACCAAGGCGGACUUCAAGAGGGGAAACA